This 208-nucleotide transfer-messenger RNA is filed under the name Methylocella silvestris BL2. RNAcentral describes it as "transfer-messenger RNA Methy_silve_BL2". It matches the Rfam family "Alphaproteobacteria transfer-messenger RNA", at positions 148 to 355 of the family's 355-position model. From Rfam's summary of the family: Bacterial tmRNA, also known as 10Sa RNA or SsrA, is named for its dual tRNA and mRNA-like properties. Lineage: Bacteria; Pseudomonadati; Pseudomonadota; Alphaproteobacteria; Hyphomicrobiales; Beijerinckiaceae. The record is from RNAcentral.
GGGGGCGAAAUAGGUUCGACAGGGAGUGUAAAGGACUGUCUUUUGCCCGGCAUUGUACCGCCGUUAUCGGGCUAUUCUUAUAGUUGCCAAUGACAACUAUGCUCCGGUCGCCGUCGCCGCGUAAUGCGGCGUUAGCACCGAAAUCAAGUCCUUGGGGGUAGCACUUCAAGGCGGGGCUCGGAGGCGCCUGGCAACAGAAGCCUCCACU